UACGGAGGGUGCGAGCGUUGUUCGGAAUCAUUGGGCGUAAAGCGCGCGCAGGCGGCCCUUUAAGUCUCACUGUGAAAGCCCGCGGCUCAACCGCGGGAGGCCAGGGGAUACUGGAGGGCUGGAGACGGGUAGAGGCGAGCGGAAUUCCGGGUGUAGCGGUGGAAUGCGUAGAGAUCCGGAAGAACACCAGAGGCGAAGGCGGCUCGCUGGACCCGUUCUGACGCUGAGGCGCGAAAGCGUGGGGAGCGAACAGGAUUAGAAACCCCCGUAGUCC
RNAcentral lists this ribosomal RNA (274 nucleotides) under uncultured bacterium. RNAcentral's name for it is "partial 16S ribosomal RNA". It matches the Rfam family "Bacterial small subunit ribosomal RNA", at positions 524 to 796 of the family's 1533-position model. The record is from RNAcentral.